AAUCCAUGAUGAGGACAUUCUCGAAUAUAUUGCUUGAACCGCUCCCAAGCUUCACUCAAUGUUUCAUAUUCAUCUUGAGAGAAGUUAGAAAAUUCCGCAUUUUCUCGGGU
This is a small nucleolar RNA of Beta vulgaris subsp. vulgaris (sugar beet), 110 nucleotides long. The record is from RefSeq and is a predicted model, not a curated record. NCBI's taxonomy places the organism in Eukaryota, Viridiplantae, Streptophyta, Magnoliopsida, Caryophyllales, Amaranthaceae.